Molecule: non-coding RNA, 212 nt
Organism: Pelobates cultripes (western spadefoot toad)
Lineage: Eukaryota; Metazoa; Chordata; Amphibia; Anura; Pelobatidae
Source: the annotation of a GenBank genome assembly
CUUCAAGGACCAUAACCACUACAAUUCUCUGUAGUUGUUAUGGUGACAGUAAUGUAAGUCGUCAGAUCUGCCUGGCAUUGCUUGACUCAUUCGGUGAGCACAAUCGGUUAAGCUCUCAACCAAUGAGCUGGCCUUGCACGGCAUGAGCCUCCGGCUCUUAAUAUUGGAAGCUACUGGAACCUGUUAAACCCCUAGCUAAGUUGACUAUUAAC